Molecule: non-coding RNA, 181 nt
Filed under: Rhodocyclaceae bacterium
Lineage: Bacteria; Pseudomonadati; Pseudomonadota; Betaproteobacteria; Rhodocyclales; Rhodocyclaceae
Description: 6S RNA
Rfam family: 6S / SsrS RNA
About the family: E. coli 6S RNA was the first non coding RNA to be sequenced, but its function was unknown until recently. It consists of 184 nucleotides that fold into an extended hairpin structure with a large single-stranded internal bulge.
Source: RNAcentral
UUUCCCCUGCGGUGUUCGCCAAGGCUGUAAAUUUCCUUGAACCAAUGUCGCAAGACAUGGUUGCCGACCCUAGACGCUGCUGUUGUGAUCGCCCUUCUCCGGGUGAACCUGAUGCAGCAGGAACGCAGCCCCCCUGAACCCAGGUUCAGGAUAGCGGCCUAACGGCACAGGCGGGGGAAAC